This 135-nucleotide ribosomal RNA is filed under the name Natronincola peptidivorans. RNAcentral describes it as "16S rRNA. Bacterial SSU". It matches the Rfam family "Bacterial small subunit ribosomal RNA", at positions 1 to 116 of the family's 1533-position model. The record is from RNAcentral. Lineage: Bacteria; Bacillati; Bacillota; Clostridia; Peptostreptococcales; Natronincolaceae.
UUUUUAUUAAGAGUUUGAUCCUGGCUCAGGAUGAACGCUGGCGGCGUGCCUAACACAUGCAAGUCGAGCGAGAGAAAUUUUCAGAAGCCUUCGGGUGGAAGAAGAUGGAUCUAGCGGCGGACGGGUGAGUAACGC